GACGAACGCUGGCGGCGUGCUUAACACAUGCAAGUCGAACGGAAAGGCCCUGCGUUUGUUGCGCUCUCGAUUGGCGAACGCGUGAGUAACACGUGAGUAACCUGCCCUUGACUGUGUGAGAACUUCAGGGAACUGGGGCUAUUAUCGGAUAUGAUCUCCUGCUCCAUGUUGGUGGUUGGAAAGAUUCGGCGGUGGGGGAUGGACUCGCUGCUUAUCAGCUUGUUUGUGUGGUAGGGGCUUACCAAGGCUUUGACGGGUAGCCGGCCUGAGAGGGUGAACGGCCACAUUGGGACUGAGAUAGGGCGCAGACGCGUACGGGAGGCAGCAGGGGGGAAUAUUGCACAAUGGGCGGAAGCCUGAUGCAGAAAUGCCGCGUGCGGGAUGACGGGUUUCGGGUUGUAAACAUAUUUCGACUGUGACGAAGAGUGAGUGACGGUAAUGGGUCAAGAAGCAACGGCUAACUACGUG
This 468-nucleotide ribosomal RNA is filed under the name uncultured bacterium. RNAcentral describes it as "partial 16S ribosomal RNA". It matches the Rfam family "Bacterial small subunit ribosomal RNA", at positions 28 to 507 of the family's 1533-position model. The record is from RNAcentral.